GACGAACGCUGGCGGCGUGCUUAACACAUGCAAGUCGAACGAAGCGGAGGACGGGUGAGUAAUGGCUAGGAAUCUGCCUGGUAGUGGGGGAAAACGUGCGGAAACGGGCGCUAAUACCGCAUACUAUCAGAUGAGCCUCGGUCGGAUUAGCUAGUUGGCGGGGUAAAGGCCUACCAAGGCGACGAUCCGUAACUGGUCUGAGAGGAUGAUCAGUCACACUGGGACGUAUACACGGUCCAGACUCCUACGGGAGGCAGCAGUAGGGAAUAUUGUACAAUGGGCGAAAGCCUGAUCCAGCCAUGCCGCGUGAGUGAAGAAGGUCUUCGGAUUGUAAAGCACUUUAAGUUGGGAGGCGUUACCAACCGAAUAAGCACCGGCUAACUUCGUGCCAGCAGCCGCGGUAAUUC
RNAcentral lists this ribosomal RNA (407 nucleotides) under uncultured bacterium. RNAcentral describes it as "partial 16S ribosomal RNA". It matches the Rfam family "Bacterial small subunit ribosomal RNA", at positions 28 to 526 of the family's 1533-position model. The record is from RNAcentral.